AAGGCUCAGUAUAACAGCUAUUAUUUAUUUGAUCGUAAACAUAGUUACUUGGAUAACUGUGGUAAUUCCAGAGCUAAUACAUGCAAACAACAUGGAUCCCUGUAGCAAUAUGGGUGAAACAUGUGCUUUUAUUAGAUUAAAACCAUGUCCAUCUCUGAUGGAUUUGUUUUAGAUGAAUCUGGAUAAUUAUGGCUGAUCGUAUGGUCUUGCACCGACGAUAGAUCAUUCAAAUGUCUGCCCUAUCAACUAUUGAUGGUAGUAUAGAGGACUACCAUGGUUGCAACGGGUAACGGGGAAUCAGGGUUCGA
This 308-nucleotide ribosomal RNA is filed under the name Sergentomyia africana. RNAcentral's name for it is "SSU rRNA". It matches the Rfam family "Eukaryotic small subunit ribosomal RNA", at positions 93 to 380 of the family's 1831-position model. The record is from RNAcentral. Lineage: Eukaryota; Metazoa; Arthropoda; Insecta; Diptera; Psychodidae.